Molecule: ribosomal RNA, 446 nt
Filed under: uncultured bacterium
Lineage: Bacteria
Description: partial 16S ribosomal RNA
Rfam family: Bacterial small subunit ribosomal RNA
Source: RNAcentral
CCUACGGGCGGCAGCAGUCGAGAAUCAUUCACAAUGGGGGAAACCCUGAUGGUGCGACGCCGCGUGGGGGAAUGAAGGUCUUCGGAUUGUAAACCCCUGUCAUGUGGGAGCAAAUUAAAAAGAUAGUACCACAAGAGGAAGAGACGGCUAACUCUGUGCCAGCAGCCGCGGUAAUACAGCGGUCUCAAGCGUUGUUCGGAAUCACUGGGCGUAAAGCGUGCGUAGGCUGUUGCGUAAGUCGUGUGUGAAAGGCGCGGGCUCAACCCGCGGACGGCACAUGAUACUGCGAGACUAGAGUAGUGGAGGGGGAACCGGAAUUCUCGGUGUAGCAGUGAAAUGCGUAGAUAUCGAGAGGAACACUCGUGGCGAAGGCGGGUUCCUGGACAGUAACUGACGCUGAGGCACGAAGGCCAGGGGAGCGAAAGGGAUUAGAUACCCGAGUAGUC